This 253-nucleotide ribosomal RNA is filed under the name uncultured prokaryote. RNAcentral's name for it is "partial 16S ribosomal RNA". It matches the Rfam family "Bacterial small subunit ribosomal RNA", at positions 524 to 776 of the family's 1533-position model. The record is from RNAcentral.
UACAGAGGGUGCGAGCGUUAAUCGGAAUUACUGGGCGUAAAGCGCACGUAGGUGGCGACGUAAGUCGGGUGUGAAAUCCCCGGGCUUAACCUGGGAACUGCGCUUGUGACUGCAAGACUCGAGUACGGCAGAGGGGGGUAGAGUUCCACGUGUAGCAGUGAAAUGCGUAGAGAUGUGGAGGAAUACCGAUGGCGAAGGCAGCCCCCUGGGUCGAUACUGACGCUCAUGCACGAAAGCGUGGGGAGCAAACAGG